This 1156-nucleotide long non-coding RNA is filed under the name Olea europaea subsp. europaea. The record is from RNAcentral. Lineage: Eukaryota; Viridiplantae; Streptophyta; Magnoliopsida; Lamiales; Oleaceae.
CCCUCAGUCAAUCUGCCAUUCAAGAGGAAAUAUUACACAGUAUUUAUUUUACACAAAACACCACCAGCACUCAUCACUCUGCCAGUCUACCAGGAAACUCACAGAAAGUUUUUAAAAAUGGUGUUACGGAGACUUUUUUCCCUCACUAUCUCACUUUCUCUCACUAUAGAAAUCCCCCUCUUUCUCACACUCUAACAUAUCAGCCUCCAGUCCUAUUUAUGGGCACAAGAUCAUAGAGAUAUACAAGAAAAUGAAUCUAAAACUCAGUUACAUCUAAUACCAGAAAAUUUGUUAGAAUCUCUAAAGCUCCCAACUAAUUUUCUAACUCAUUUAACUAAUUUUCUAACCAAUGAGUUUAACAACAGAAUCAAGAUUGACUAAAAAACACCCUGCAUGGUUGAACAUCCAGCUUUAACCUUCAGCAAUCUAAUGCCUCAUGCAUCUUGCUAACUUGAAUUAUUUUUUAUGAGCAAAUCAGCCAAUCAACUUCAGUAGCUUCAGCUUCAUAAUCUGCAUCCUCCACUUACAUCUCAUUAUGCAGAUUUUCAGCUCCACCAUUUUGGUCAGUUUCUUGUGAUGAGUCCUUUAAGUCUGAAUGGAUAUAUCCAAGAUCAGCUUUGGUUAUAUGAGUAACAGAUGCAAAAUUAAACAUGUGGGCUUUUCCCAACUCUAGUAACCCUUUGGCACUCUUGUGUUCAAGCCUUCCAUGCCACAACCCGACUUGAUCUUCCUUGCUUUCAGAAAUAGUAACUUCACCGUUGACUGCUGUGCGUUGCAAAAUAUACAGACCCUUUUGCAACAGAUCUUUCAUCACAACCAAAGAUCCCUUCAUAACCUCGAGUGCUCCACCUUGAGCCUUGUAGAUGCAACCAAAUUCAUCCAUAGCUCCGAAUGAGAUCAAAUUCUUCUCAAGGCCUGUAUAUGCCUUACACCACUCAAGAUUAGAGUAGUACUAUCCCACAUUUUCAGCUUAAUAGCUCCCACACCCACCACAUCCAGCUACUGUUAUUUCCUAGCAAAGCUUUACUCCCAUGAUCUGGUUUGUACUCCAAGAAAAGGUCUCGUCUAGGUGUCAUAUGAAAUGUGCACCCAAAAUCCAUUACCCAUUCAUCCUUGGUGUCUAAAUAUGUCACAAACAGAACAUCAGUAGUUUUAU